CCUGAUUUGAUCACUACACAUUGAAUGUAUCACAACAUCAUUAUGUGCCUUUGUGUACCUCAUAAAUAUGUACAAUUAUUAUGUGUCAAUUUUUUUAAUUAAAAAAAUAUUGAAGGAGGUUGGAGAGAAGAUCUUGAUAACACUUUUGGUUACAUUGAAUUUCAAGAUGUUCAAGAGGGGAUAUCAAAUGUCAAUUGUAAAGCUGUAUUUUAAACUUCAUUGAGAGAUUUGGGUUGAAUAAAGAAAUGUGUAUGUCAUCUGUGCAUAAGUGGAUAUGACCUCCCAGAGAGACAGUUUAAAGAAGAGUAGAAGUCUAGCGCUGAGCCUUGUGAUGCCACAAUAGCUAAAGGCCAAGUGGAGGAAGGACCAAAGGAAACCAGUUAGGAAGCUGUUUAAUAAUCCAGCCAAGUGCCAGUGAAAAUCUGAUCUGGCAUGAUGACAGUAGGACCGCAAAGAAAGGGAAGAAUAAAAAGAACGUUAUUAUUUAUUUUUUUAACACAAAGGAAACCAGCUGGUGAUUUGUAUGUACAAUGAGGUUUGAAAAGCACUGAUUGAGAGACCAGACUGGAUGAGAACAGACAUGGAGUCAGAAGAGAGAGAUAAAAUAUUCACCCACGAAAAGAUCCCCAACUCAAGACUAAAUCAGCAGAGCAGUGACAUUAAAGGAGCAACUCUGUCAAAUACAAGCUCUCCACGAGGAAAGAAGUUGAAGAACAAAAGCCUGAAGCUUAGUCUGCAAUUGAUUGUCUCAUGUGCCUCUAACAAGAAAUGGAAGAGACAUUUUUCCACUUUACUUCUAUGAAACUACUACCUCUCUAGAAACAUUUUUAGACUGCAACCUAUUAAAGGAUAUAUAAAGAAAUAAAGCAGCUGGACCUAUAGGUUUUGGUGGAAAACUAAUUAAAUUUGAACUAAUUUCCUACAAAACUUUUUUC
RNAcentral lists this long non-coding RNA (935 nucleotides) under Pan troglodytes (chimpanzee). Its description in RNAcentral is "lncRNA (ENSPTRG00000053477.1)". Lineage: Eukaryota; Metazoa; Chordata; Mammalia; Primates; Hominidae. The record is from RNAcentral.